CAGUCGCCGCGGGAAUACGGAGGGGGCUAGCGUUGUUCGGAAUUACUGGGCGUAAAGCGCACGUAGGCGGCUUGGUAAGUUAGAGGUGAAAGCCCGGAGCUCAACUCCGGAAUUGCCUUUAAGACUGCCGAGCUAGUAGGUGAGAGAGGUAAGUGGAAUUCCGAGUGUAGAGGUGAAAUUCGUAGAUAUUCGGAAGAACACCAGUGGCGAAGGCGGCUUACUGGCUCAUUCUAGACGCUGAGGUGCGAAAGCGUGGGGAGCAAACAGGAUUAGAUACCCCGGUAGUCCCUGUCUCUUAUAC
RNAcentral lists this ribosomal RNA (301 nucleotides) under uncultured bacterium. RNAcentral's name for it is "partial 16S ribosomal RNA". It matches the Rfam family "Bacterial small subunit ribosomal RNA", at positions 509 to 807 of the family's 1533-position model. The record is from RNAcentral.